GAUCCUAACUGACCUUAGACAUGAUUUUUACUAUGAUUAAAUGUCAGGGAUUGUGAAACUGAGUUUAAAUGUAUUUGGCUAAGGUAUAUGUAAACAUCAACUGUAUAACAUAUGAUCUGUUUAAAUUAUGAAUAUUUUCUCACAAGGCCAAUUUUCUUGUUUGUUUUGUUCUGCUCUCCUGAAGUAAAUUUUAUUUGAAGGAUUGAUGAGCACUUUAUUCUAGAACACUAGCGUAGCUACUCGUAUGGCUUUUUUAAAUGACGCUUUUGCCUUUUUGCAAAAGCAUAUUUUUUUAAAAUGAAUUUUACCAAGCAGGAGAAAACUGAUGGAGAGGGUACGGUCUUGGUCCUUUUCUGUUGUCCCUUGAAAAACAGAUUUUUUAUUUUUUUUUAAACAAAAGCAAUGUAUCUGUUUAAUUAUAUUGGAUUGCUGAUGGUGCUCACUAAGAUUUUUUUGUGUUUGAAAUUGUCAUAAUCCAUCACGUUUCCUUUCUUUGACAUGAAGUGUGUGUUACAUAGGUGUAGUAUGAUUGGUUUCUUUGACAUGAAGUGUGUGUUACAUAGGUGUAGUAUGAUUGGUUUCUUUGACAUGAAGGAAGUGUGUGUUACAUAGGUGUAGUAUGAUUGGUUUCUUUGACAUGAAGUAAGUGUGUGUUACAUAGGUGUAGUAUGAUUGGUUUCUUUGACAUGAAGGAAGUGUGUGUUACAUAGGUGUAGUAUGAUUGGUUUCUUUGACAUGAAGUAAGUGUGUGUUACAUAGGUGUAGUAUGAUUGGUUUCUUUGACAUGAAGUAAGUGUGUGUUACAUAGGUGUAGUAUGAUUGGUUUCUUUGACAUGAAGUAAGUGUGUGUUACAUAGGUGUAGUAUGAUUGGUUUCUUUGACAUGAAGUGUGUGUUACAUAGGUGUAGUAUGAUUGGUUUCUUUGACAUGAAGGAAGUGUGUGUUACAUAGGUGUUGUAUGAUUGGUUUCUUUGACAUGAAGGAAGUGUGUGUUACAUAGGUGUAGUAUGAUUGGUUUCUUUGACAUGAAGUAAGUGUGUGUUACAUAGGUGUAGUAUGAUUGGUUUCUUUGACAUGAAGGAAGUGUGUGUUACAUAGGUGUAGUAUGAUUGGUUUCUUUGACAUGAAGGAAGUGUGUGUUACAUAGGUGUAGUAUGAUUGGUUUCUUUGACAUGAAGUAAGUGUGUGUUACAUAGGUGUAGUAUGAUUGGUUUCUUUGACAUGAAGUGUGUGUUACAUAGGUGUAGUAUGAUUGGUUUCUUUGACAUGAAGGAAGUGUGUGUUACAUAGGUGUAGUAUGAUUGGUUUCUUUGACAUGAAGGAAGUGUGUGUUACAUAGGUGUAGUAUGAUUGGUUUCUUUGACAUGAAGUAAGUGUGUGUUACAUAGGUGUAGUAUGAUUGGUUUCUUUGACAUGAAGUAAGUGUGUGUGUUACAUAGGUGUAGUAUGAUUGGUUUCUUUGACAUGAAGUACUUUUGUGUAAUUCUUAAACCAAAUGUUGUUUUGUAAAAAUGUUGGCACACAAUUCUCGAGUUUUAUGGAGGAUUUAAACCGUAUUUAUAAAGAACAAAACAAUUCGCAAAUAUCUACAGAAAAGAAUCAUCGAUAAAUAAAGAUUUGUCAUCGUCACGAAAUGAGAUUCUCCAACUUUUAGCUUUGUAAAAUCUUAUCUGGUACUGGGUAGGGGAUGUCUGCUAGUAGCUGAAGAGAUGGCUGGCGUAAAAAGCCUAUUUGCUUGUAGAUGUGCAGCAUUUUGAGGUUCCACUGAUUUUAGGCAACAUUUGUCAGACAAUUUGUCCCUUACACUGUUUCCCUGGCAGACCCUAGAGCAGGGUUCUCCAACCCUGUUCCUGGAGAGCUACCCUCCUGUAGAUUUUCACUCCAACCCUGUUCUGGGAGAGCUACCCUCCUGUAGGUUUUCACUCCAACCCCAGUUGUGACUAACCUGAUUCAGCUUAUGGACCAUCUAAUUAUUAGUCAGGCGUGCUAGAUAACCUUCAGGACGGUAGCUCUCCAGGAACAGAAUUGGAGAGCCCUGCUCUAGGGGGACUGGAGAUGUUUGGCGGGUGCUACUGUUAGCACAGCCUAGUUGACAACAUUGAGCUACUCCCUGGUACUACUUUAGGUGUCUUGACUUCAUCUCUAGCCAUUUUUCUUACAUUUGUUAACCGGUGCAUGUUUGGCCACCACUGUCAUUGGCAAAAUAUUAAUUUGAUGUGACUGACAGAUUUGUGGCGCGUCUCAGCCGUCCUUAUGAAUAAUUGACCAAAACUUGCCAAUAAUAAAAAUAAUAAUGCUUUAAACUCAACCUUUUGCAAGAGUUUCCAGUUUGUACUGCUUUUGCAGAAGUAUUUGGCAGAAAUUACAACUUUUCCGUUUUGUCGUCUUUUCCAUGCUAUUUCCCAAUCCAUUUACCUUUUCUUUCUGAAAGUAGAGGAAGAAAUGCAGUGGUUAUGCUUGUGGCCAGCUGAAAGUGAAGAACUGUAUAGAGGUAAUGCACUGGACCAACUCUUGUUGACCAUUUUUAUGGAAUACCAGCAACAAACUUGCACAAUGUUUAAAAAAUAUAUGUAUAUCUAUGUAUGUAAUGUAUGUAUGUAUGUAUGUAUGUAUGUAUGUAUGUAUGUAUGUGUGUAUGUGUGUGUGUGUGUGUGUGUGUGUGUGUGUGUGUGUGUGUGUGUGUGUGUUGCACGCACGCACGCACACACAAUGGCAGCUGUUUUUAAUUAAACAAUUAAAUACAUAUUAUGUAAAGUGAAAAACACCUUGUUUACCAUGUCAUCCUCCAGUCUUCUUGGUUCGCUUCACUAGUUGUUUGUAACUGGGUCAGUUUGUUUCACUAGUUGUUUUAUAACUGGGUCAGUAUGCUUCAUUUACACCUCUAUUUUUCCUACUUCUGGUUGAAAAUAAAUUCUAUAUCUGUUUUAAA
Oncorhynchus kisutch (coho salmon) is the source of this 2929-nucleotide long non-coding RNA. RefSeq lists it as uncharacterized. NCBI's taxonomy places the organism in Eukaryota, Metazoa, Chordata, Actinopteri, Salmoniformes, Salmonidae. The record is from RefSeq and is a predicted model, not a curated record. The transcript has 2 exons.